This 253-nucleotide ribosomal RNA is filed under the name uncultured bacterium. RNAcentral's name for it is "partial 16S ribosomal RNA". It matches the Rfam family "Bacterial small subunit ribosomal RNA", at positions 524 to 776 of the family's 1533-position model. The record is from RNAcentral.
UACGUAGGGUGCGAGCGUUGUCCGGAAUUACUGGGCGUAAAGAGCUCGUAGGUGGUUUGUCGCGUUGUUCGUGAAAACCGGGGGCUUAACCCUCGGCGUGCGGGCGAUACGGGCAGACUUGAGUACUGCAGGGGAGACUGGAAUUCCUGGUGUAGCGGUGGAAUGCGCAGAUAUCAGGAGGAACACCAAUAGCGAAGGCAGCUCGCUGGGACGUGACUGACACUAAGGCGCGAAAGCGUGGGGAGCGAACAGG